UGUAUCUGACUUGAUUAUCAGACCAGGAA
Molecule: non-coding RNA, 29 nt
Filed under: Rattus norvegicus (Norway rat)
Lineage: Eukaryota; Metazoa; Chordata; Mammalia; Rodentia; Muridae
Source: RNAcentral